UUAAGUUCAGCGGGUAGUCCUACUCGAUUUGAGGUCAAGUUGUCAGAGAUUGUCCGAAGACGGUUGGAAAGCACAGAGCUCCCAAUCGGCCACCCUCUUAUGAGGUGCCGGCGAAGACACUUAUCACGCCGUACUAUGUCCAAUCAAGAGAUGCACUGAUGCAUUUGAGGUGAGCCACAAGGAAAGCAGCAAGCACCCAA
RNAcentral lists this unclassified non-coding RNA (200 nucleotides) under Sebacina sp. RNAcentral describes it as "partial internal transcribed spacer 2". Lineage: Eukaryota; Fungi; Basidiomycota; Agaricomycetes; Sebacinales; Sebacinaceae. The record is from RNAcentral.